GGAAGUAAAAGUCGUAACAAGGUCUCCGUAGGUGAACCUGCGGAGGGAUCAUUACGGUUUGGAAGGUCCUCCACUCUCACCCUUUGUGUUAUACCCUGUUGCUUCGGGGGCCACCCCGCUCGUCGGGGGCCCCCGGUGGCACACCAAAACUCUGUAUCAUCGCGUCCGAGUCGUAUACCAAUUAUACAAAACUUUCAACAACGGAUCUCUUGGUUCUGGCAUCGAUGAAGAACGCAGCGAAAUGCGAUAAGUAAUGUGAAUUGCAGAAUUCAGUGAAUCAUCGAAUCUUUGAACGCACAUUGCGCCCUGGUAUUCCGAAGGGCAUGCCCGUCCGAGCGUCAUUUCACCACUCGAGCCCUGCUCGGUGUUGGGCGCCGCGUCCACCGCGCGCCUUAAAGUCCUCGGCCGCGUGGUCCAUCCCCGAGCGUUGUGGCAUUACGUCUCGCUCCGGGCUGAUGGGCCGUGCCGGCCGUUAAGCCUCUCACACAGGUUGACCUCGGAUCAGGUAGGGAUACCCGCUGAACUUAAGCAUAUCAAUAAGCGGAGGA
Molecule: ribosomal RNA, 548 nt
Filed under: Semiarundinaria densiflora
Lineage: Eukaryota; Viridiplantae; Streptophyta; Magnoliopsida; Poales; Poaceae
Description: eukaryotic LSU rRNA
Rfam family: 5.8S ribosomal RNA (bases 190-341)
Source: RNAcentral